Molecule: long non-coding RNA, 599 nt
Organism: Parus major (Great Tit)
Lineage: Eukaryota; Metazoa; Chordata; Aves; Passeriformes; Paridae
Exons: 2
Source: RefSeq, a predicted model, not a curated record
UUUAGUCAGUUGCAGAAUUAUUUCAGGUUGGUCAUUUCCUUUCGGGAUUGUUUGUAUUGUACCAGACUAAGGGGAGCUGCACCCCUAUGGAAUUAUGGUACUGAGGAGCUGUAUGGGAAUUCAGGAGAUUGGUGGUCCAUUCCCUAUACUGAGCUGAUCAGCUGUAUCCUCAACCACCCUCAAUAUGUGCUGCGGCUGUGCCCGGGGAAUACCCUCGAGGAAAGCUUUGUCACAAGGAGGCAAAUGAGGAGCAGCCCACCGCAGUGCUGCAGCUGGCCCGCAGCAACCCACGCCCCGUCACCCUGGGUCAGAGGCACAGCCGAGGCACAAGACAGAGUUCAGAAAUUCUAUGUCCAGUAUUAAUAAGGUCAAAAGAUACAGAUGGAAAAUGGCUCCUGAUUUUCCUGAUCCAAUAACACAAAGCAGGUCUCCUACUGCAUUAAAAGUGACGUGGAUAAGUAACAGUCAUUGGGCCUCUCAGGGAUGGGUUUACAGUGAGGCUGUCGAACAGCAGCUAUCAAAAGGGGACACAGCAAUUAAUUUGAAACCCAUACCCUAUUCAUUUUAAUAUUGUUAAAAACUUGAAGAAAAUCUUGAUU